AUUGAACGUUGGCGGCAGGCCUAACACAUGCAAGUCGAGCGAGCGGCGGACGGGUGAGUAAUGCUUGGGAAUCUAGCUUAUGGAGGGGGAUAACUACGGGAAACUGUAGCUAAUACCGCGUACCAUAGGAUGAGCCCAAGUGGGAUUAGGUAGUUGGUGGGGUAAAGGUUCACCAAGCCGACGAUCUCUAGCUGGUCUGAGAGGAUGACCAGCCACACUGGGACUGAGACACGGCCCAGACUCCUACGGGAGGAAGCAGUGGGGAAUAUUGCGCAAUGGGGGCAACCUGACGCAGCCAUGCCGCGUGAAUGAAGAAGGCCUUCGGGUUGUAAAGUUCUUUCGGUAGCGAGGCGUUAACUACAGAAGAAGCACCGGCUAACUCCGUGCCAGCAGCCGCGGUAAUUC
Molecule: ribosomal RNA, 405 nt
Filed under: uncultured bacterium
Lineage: Bacteria
Description: partial 16S ribosomal RNA
Rfam family: Bacterial small subunit ribosomal RNA
Source: RNAcentral